GUUUGAUCCUGGCUCAGGACGAACGCUGGCGGCGUGCUUAACACAUGCAAGUCGAACGGAGCACCCCUGAAGGAGUUUUCGGACAACGGAAGGGAAUGCUUAGUGGCGGACUGGUGAGUAACGCGUGAGGAACCUGCCUUUCGGAGGGGGACAACAGUUGGAAGCGACUGCUAAUACCGCAUGAUGCAUUUGGAUCGCAUGGUCUGAAUGUCAAAGAUUUAUCGCCGAAAGAUGGCCUCGCGUCUGAUUAGCUUGUUGGUGAGGUAACGGCCCACCAAGGCGACGAUCAGUAGCCGGACUGAGAGGUUGGCCGGCCACAUUGGGACUGAGAUACGGCCCAGACUCCUACGGGAGGCAGCAGUGGGGAAUAUUGGGCAAUGGACGCAAGUCUGACCCAGCAACGCCGCGUGAAGGAAGAAGGCUUUCGGGUUGUAAACUUCUUUUAAGGGGGAAGAGCAGAAGACGGUACCCCUUGAAUAAGCCACGGCUAACUACGUGCCAGCAGCCGCGGUAAUACGUAGGUGGCAAGCGUUGUCCGGAUUUACUGGGUGUAAAGGGCGUGCAGCCGGAGAGACAAGUCAGAUGUGAAAUCCACGGGCUCAACCCGUGAACUGCAUUUGAAACUGUUUCCCUUGAGUGUCGGAGAGGUAAUCGGAAUUCCUAGUGUAGCGGUGAAAUGCGU
This 682-nucleotide ribosomal RNA is filed under the name uncultured bacterium. RNAcentral's name for it is "bacterial SSU rRNA". It matches the Rfam family "Bacterial small subunit ribosomal RNA", at positions 11 to 691 of the family's 1533-position model. The record is from RNAcentral.